This 162-nucleotide unclassified non-coding RNA is filed under the name uncultured Fusarium. RNAcentral describes it as "sequence contains ITS2". The record is from RNAcentral. Lineage: Eukaryota; Fungi; Ascomycota; Sordariomycetes; Hypocreales; Nectriaceae.
CAACCCUCAAGCCCCCGGGCUUGGUGUUGGGGCUCGGCCCGUCCCUAGCGGCGCGCCGUCCCCGAAAUCUAGUGGCGGUCACGCUGUACUCCUCUGCGUAGUAAUCUAACCUCGCAACGGGACAAAGCGCGGCCACGCCGUUAAACCCCCAACUUCUGAAGG